AAAUUAUUAUGGAUUU
Molecule: ribosomal RNA, 16 nt
Filed under: Lymantria dispar (gypsy moth)
Lineage: Eukaryota; Metazoa; Arthropoda; Insecta; Lepidoptera; Erebidae
Also listed under: 1 other name
Description: partial large subunit rRNA
Source: RNAcentral